GACCACCGUCUCCCGCGGGAAGGGCAGCUGACACCGGAGACUGACACAGGACUGCCCCCGUCACUCAGCUCCCCGUCACUCAGUUGCUUCCCUGAUGCAACCCCUCUGCCGCCACCGCCCCCUACCCUCCCCCACCACCCCCCACCCCCGCCCCUCCGGCCUCAGCAAUCAGAAGCCAGAGGCCACACAGUUUCCAGCAGAGAGGAGCUUGUGACAGACCCAGGUGCUUGCUGGAACAUCAGAAGAGCUGAGGCCCACAAAGCAGGAAUGGAAACAGAAAUGUAGACGCUAAGAGCGCACAACGUAACCAAGAUCAGCGGGGAAGGGAACAUGAUUUAGGGACAACUGAG
Molecule: long non-coding RNA, 350 nt
Organism: Leopardus geoffroyi (Geoffroy's cat)
Lineage: Eukaryota; Metazoa; Chordata; Mammalia; Carnivora; Felidae
Exons: 3
Source: RefSeq, a predicted model, not a curated record